AUGACAACAACAUUUGUUCAUCACACAAAGAUAAAGCUGGCCACUGACUGCGCUUCCCCCUCCCCUCGCCCAACCACAAGCAGAACAGGCAGGAUGUCGAACAAAGAAACAGCAGAAGCAGCAACGAGCAUUACGUUCAGAUUAGAGGACAUUCAGGGAUCCAUGUGGAAAGUUCCAAAAACCUUAAGAAAACAAACCCAAGCAACAAAAUAGGUUAAACAACUGGCAUAUGAGUUGCAUCUAGACACCUCCUAAUAACAUGAAGAUAAACUUCUCAUCCAGAUUAUUCAAUUUAUAUAGGGUGAGAUUUAGAUUCACAAUUCUAGAUGAGAACAUUUUUGCUCCUGAUGGAUGCACAAGAAAUACCUGCCACUUGAGUGUCAGACUGUGUUCAAGCCUGCACCAUUCUGUGGAAGCAAAUGAAGAUGAAGGAAAUUUUUCUUCUCCCCAGAGGUCUGAGCCACAGUAACAGUAAACCUGUUGACUUCCAUGAGUUCUUGAUGAAGCUCCCUAUGGUGGAGGUGCUUUUGCACUGCAGCCAGUGAGAAUGAGGAUCUACUGCUAACUCUCCUCAUGUAUCACUGUGACUUGUCUCUUAUCCACACUUGCAGUGAAUCCAAGAGCAGUUUCAUAUAGUGCUUACCACAGACAGAAGACUAAUAUGGGUUUUAACACUUACCUAAACUGUUUAUACGGCCAUCUUGAAUAAAGCAAAUUUGUUUGUCA
RNAcentral lists this long non-coding RNA (726 nucleotides) under Anas platyrhynchos platyrhynchos (common mallard). Its description in RNAcentral is "lncRNA (ENSAPLG00000027467.1)". Lineage: Eukaryota; Metazoa; Chordata; Aves; Anseriformes; Anatidae. The record is from RNAcentral.